GGAGGUUUUGUAGACUGUGUUUGCUGGUUAUCUUCUUUAACGCAGGGGUUGAAGAUAUUCUAUAUAUAACAUGGGCUGGGCUUACUCUUCCAAUGCCACUAAACCAUCAGAAGAUCCAUAAAGAACACAAGAGGUACCAGUAACUGAAGACAUACAUUAGCCCAUGACUGCAUGUGCAAGUGUCUCUACUGCAUGCGGCUCCUUCUGCUCUUCUCCUUGCUCUCAGUGGCAAUGGUGGACUGAAGGAUGCACUGGGAGAAGAGAAGCUUCAAGAGGAUAAUCCAGUUAACAAGAAAAGCGUAGAGAAGUUGACAUGAACAUGACUGACAGUUAUUUCCCUGGAACUCUUCUUGAAAUUGAAAAUGCAACUGAGGGGCACUGCUGCCAGCUGUUACCUUGCUUGCCCUCCACACAGGACCUUGAGCAAGAUUGUUGGUGUGGGGUUUCCUUUUGGCGGGGUUUGCCACCUGCAGUCAGGAUGUUGCCAAGUAAAUACAUUGCCUGUGAUCCUUGGGGGCGAGGCAGCAGUCAGGAUGUUGUGACACCUGUCAAAUGCGUUUUCACUUCUGGGAGGACUAAAAAGCAAAAUCUCUCAUAUCAAUUUUCAGUUGUAUUGGGGAUUUCUCAGGUUUCAAGGUCAUGA
RNAcentral lists this long non-coding RNA (643 nucleotides) under Anser brachyrhynchus (Pink-footed goose). Its description in RNAcentral is "lncRNA (ENSABRG00000012388.1)". Lineage: Eukaryota; Metazoa; Chordata; Aves; Anseriformes; Anatidae. The record is from RNAcentral.